CAUCUGUUCUGUCACGGCACUAGUUUGGCUUUUUCCUGGUUUUGUCAUGUUUUGAGUUUUUAAGUAAAUCUUUGAGUUUCUGCCACCAUGUCUUGUCUCCUGCAUUUGGGUUCUUCACCACCAUUCAUGACAGACAUAGUUUGGCUUAAGGGUUCAUUUCUUUUUCAGUCAGUUUGCUCUUCACUAGAUCAUAUAAAUAUCUUAUUUUCAACUAUAAUAAUGAGUGGGCGGCUGGAUUAUUUAAAAAAAAAAAACAAUCAAAGCUGAAGGAAAUUUUCUUUGGGGUUGAGACAAAUUAAUAGUUUAAAACAAAUAGCUGGAUUGAUAAAUAGAAUUAACCAAAAAUAUUUUCAGAAAACAUUGUAAAUAAACAAAAUAAAAAGAAUAAUGCCACAAAAUAAGUCAGAAAAUAAAAGAAUAAAAAAGAUAAAUUUCUUCUAAUGUUAAAAUUUUGAAAAAUAAACACCAAUGAAUAGGAUAUAGAUGCCCUACGAUUUAAAAACUUGCAAAUUAACUUGUAGCAUCAAAGACUAAAAACAAGUUUAUUUUUGCUUUUUGAGCAACUUCACAAACAAUAAACUCUUCUGCAUUUGUAUAUUUGUUUUCCUUUUAGUUUCAUCUCAACUCUGAAGUCGAUAAAUGCUAAUGAAUGCUCAAAAUUUGGAUAAAAUUUGAAAAUAGGAAAAAAAAAAUACAUUUAUUAUAGGGGUUAAAGUGAAAUGAUCAUUUACUGCUUGUUAACUCAAAAAAUCUUUGAUAAUUUGCUAUUUUUUUGUUUUUUUUAAAUGGUGGCUGUGCUGUUCAACACAAACAUCUAUGAAUGUGGAAUUUCUACAAUGUAAUGGAUAAGAAAAUGAAUUAUUGAGGGCAUUGAGGCUGAACAAGUGAUUUUUAGGCACAUGUAUGAACUCUUUUUUUAAUUUGCAUUUCCAUUUUUGUUGUAUUCCAUUUCGAACAAUGAUGAGAUCGUUUUAAAUAUUUGAGACAAUAAAUAAACUUAAUACAAAUGGAAAACGUAAAAUGUAUAUAAUAGAAAAUGUUUUUACCAACUUAAAUACUAAAUUAAACUAUUAACAUUUAAACCGCCUGGUGUUCAUCAUUUCAAACUCGUGAACACAUUUUGACAAACUAUGAAGUAUCCAAUCAGUGUGAUGUUCCACUUCGCUUAAAGAAAAUGUACGGUUUUCAGAUAGGAAUGUGUUCGCUGUGUGAGGGUGUGAACUGCAGAGGCUCCUGCUGAGGAAAUAAAUGCGGUCCACCAUGUGUAAACAAGAUAAUUACAGUCUUAGAUAGAUUUGAAGGGAAAAAAAAUGCUUCAUGGGCGGAUAUGUAGCUCCCGGCACGGCAUAUUACUGUCAAAACCCUUCAACGGUAAUAUGAAGGGCCCAUGAAGCCCUUCAGCAUUGUCAAUCUUCACUUAGAGAGAACAUCAAGCAUCUGUGUGAAGGUACUAAAAAGCUUCAAGUCUAAAAUAUUUCUGAACAUGCAUGCAUGAUGGUGUAAAAAGUUGACCUAUUUGGAGACUUUUUUUUCGCAAUUAACAAAAUGAUUAAUAGGAUGUGGGCAUUAAAUGUUGCAAAAGAACCGUCUCGGCUCGUACACUGAAAUCCUGUCCACACCUCUGUUGAUCUUAUGUGAAGCUGACCACAAGAUUCAGGAUGAAGCAACUCAGAGACGUGUCGACACUCUCAGCUGUUUAAAAGCUAAUUGAGGUGGUGAGAAAAGCAUUUGAGAUAGAAGCGAGGAUUGAUAUUUUAUUCACCUUUCCACUCGUCGAGACAGUUUGAAGCUGCAACAUGAAGGUGUUCCUUCUCGUGAUCUUCCUGCUGGUUAAAACCUGUGAGAGUAGAAGACACAGGAGUGACAGCUCUAGCAGUGAAUCCCAAAGUUUAGAGAAUUUGAGGCCGUUACUGUUAAAUAUUUGUAGGAUUCUUCCUACUCUGUGCAACCCGGCUGCCACAUCUACAGCUGCAACUACAACAACAGCAGCAACAACAACAGCAACAACAGCAGCAACAACCGCAACGACCCCACGUGGAGACAGCGGCUGAACUGCAUCCAUGCCUAAAGAGGAUCCCCUCUCUGAGUUGCUCUGCUUCUCAUGGAUCUGUUUGAAUGUCAUGCACUGUUUUAGCUUUGUGUUUGCCCCAUGGUUUAUACCAACCAGAAAGGCUGAU
Oryzias melastigma (Indian medaka) is the source of this 2177-nucleotide long non-coding RNA. RefSeq lists it as uncharacterized. The record is from RefSeq and is a predicted model, not a curated record. The transcript is spliced from 3 exons. NCBI's taxonomy places the organism in Eukaryota, Metazoa, Chordata, Actinopteri, Beloniformes, Adrianichthyidae.